Molecule: ribosomal RNA, 481 nt
Filed under: uncultured bacterium
Lineage: Bacteria
Description: partial 16S ribosomal RNA
Rfam family: Bacterial small subunit ribosomal RNA
Source: RNAcentral
GACGAACGCUGGCGGCGUGCUUAACACAUGCAAGUCGAACGGUGAAAGGGAGCUUGCUCCCUGGAUCAGUGGCGAACGGGUGAGUAACACGUGGGCAACCUGCCCCAGACUUCGGGAUAACGCUUCGAAAGAGGUGCUAAUACCGGAUACGAACUCCUUGGGCAUCCUUGGAGUUGGAAAGUUUUUCGGUCUGGGAUGGGCCCGCGGCCUAUCAGCUUGUUGGUGAGGUAACGGCUCACCAAGGCGACGACGGGUAGCCGGCCUGAGAGGGCGACCGGCCACACUGGGACUGAGACACGGCCCAGACUCCUACGGGAGGCAGCAGUGGGGAAUAUUGCGCAAUGGGCGAAAGCCUGACGCAGCAACGCCGCGUGAGGGAUGACGGCCUUCGGGUUGUAAACCUCUUUCAGCAGGGAAGAAGCGAAAGUGACGGUACCUGCAGAAGAAGCACCGGCUAACUACGUGCCAGCAGCCGCCGUAA